This 273-nucleotide ribosomal RNA is filed under the name uncultured bacterium. Its description in RNAcentral is "partial 16S ribosomal RNA". It matches the Rfam family "Bacterial small subunit ribosomal RNA", at positions 82 to 354 of the family's 1533-position model. The record is from RNAcentral.
CUUCCGCCGGCGACCGGCGCACGGGUGAGUAACACGUAUGCAACCUGCCCCUGUCAGGGGGACAACCCGCUGAAAGGCGGGCUAAACCCGCGUACAUGCCACCGGGGCAUCCCGGAGGCAGGAAAGGCUUCGGCCGGACAGGGAUGGGCAUGCGGCGCAUUAGGCAGUAGGCGGGGUAACGGCCCACCUAACCGACGAUGCGUAGGGGUUCUGAGAGGAAGGUCCCCCACAUUGGAACUGAGACACGGUCCAAACUCCUACGGAAGGCAGCAG